AUGAACGCUGGCGGCGUGCCUCAUACAUGCCAGUCGAGCGAACAGACGAGGAGCUUGCUCCUCUGACGUUAGCGGCGGACGGGUGAGUAACACGUGGAUAACCUACCUAUAAGACUGGGAUAACUUCGGGAAACCGGAGCUAAUACCGGAUAAUAUAUUGAACCGCAUGGUUCAAUAGUGAAAGACGGUUUUGCUGUCACUUAUAGAUGGAUCCGCGCCGCAUUAGCUAGUUGGUAAGGUAACGGCUUACCAAGGCAACGAUGCGUAGCCGACCUGAGAGGGUGAUCGGCCACACUGGAACUGAGACACGGUCCAGACUCCUGCGGGAGGCAGCAGUAGGGAAUCUUCCGCAAUGGGCGAAAGCCUGACGGAGCAACGCCGCGUGAGUGAUGAAGGUCUUCGGAUCGUAAAACUCUGUUAUUAGGGAAGAACAAAUGUGUAAGUAACUAUGCACGUCUUGACGGUACCUAAUCAGAAAGCCACGGCUAACUACGUG
Molecule: ribosomal RNA, 496 nt
Filed under: uncultured bacterium
Lineage: Bacteria
Description: partial 16S ribosomal RNA
Rfam family: Bacterial small subunit ribosomal RNA
Source: RNAcentral